This 246-nucleotide ribosomal RNA is filed under the name uncultured bacterium. RNAcentral describes it as "partial 16S ribosomal RNA". It matches the Rfam family "Bacterial small subunit ribosomal RNA", at positions 524 to 769 of the family's 1533-position model. The record is from RNAcentral.
UACGGAGGGUGCAAGCGUUAAUCGGAAUUACUGGGUGUAAAGCGCACGCAGGCGGUUUGUUAAGUCCGCUGUGAAAUCCCCGGGCUCAACCUGGGAACUGCAUCUGAUACUGUCAAGCUUGAGUCUCGUAGAGGGGGGUAGAAUUCCAGGUGUAGCGGUGAAAUGCGUAGAGAUCUGGAGGAAUACCGGUGGCGAAGGCUGCCGCGUGGACGGAGACUGACGCUCAGGUGCGAAAGUGUGGGGAGC